Molecule: ribosomal RNA, 497 nt
Filed under: uncultured bacterium
Lineage: Bacteria
Description: partial 16S ribosomal RNA
Rfam family: Bacterial small subunit ribosomal RNA
Source: RNAcentral
GACGAACGCUGGCGGCGUGCCUAAUACAUGCAAGUUGAGCGCUGAAGGUUGGUACUUGUACCAACUGGAUGAGCAGCGAACGGGUGAGUAACGCGUGGGGAAUCUGCCUUUGAGCGGGGGACAACAUUUGGAAACGAAUGCUAAUACCGCAUAAAAACUUUAAACACAAGUUUUAAGUUUGAAAGAUGCAAUUGCCUCACUCAAAGAUGAUCCCGCGUUGUAUUAGCUAGUUGGUGAGGUAAAGGCUCACCAAGGCGAUGAUACAUAGCCGACCUGAGAGGGUGCUCGGCCACAUUGGGACGGAGACACGGCCCAAACUCCUACGGGAGGCAGCAGUAGGGAAUCUUCGGCAAUGGACGAAAGUCUGACCGAGCAACGCCGCGUGAGUGAAGAAGGUUUUCGGAUCGUAAAACUCUGUUGGUAGAGAAGAACGUUGGUGAGAGUGGAAAGCUCAUCAAGUGACGGUAACUACCCAGAAAGGGACGGCUAACUACGUG